Molecule: ribosomal RNA, 479 nt
Filed under: uncultured bacterium
Lineage: Bacteria
Description: partial 16S ribosomal RNA
Rfam family: Bacterial small subunit ribosomal RNA
Source: RNAcentral
AUUGAACGCUGGCGGCAUGCCUUACACAUGCAAGUCGAACGGUAACAGGUCUUCGGAUGCUGACGAGUGGCGAACGGGUGAGUAAUACAUCGGAACGUGCCCGAUCGUGGGGGAUAACGAGGCGAAAGCUUUGCUAAUACCGCAUACGAUCUACGGAUGAAAGCGGGGGAUCUUCGGACCUCACGCGGACGGAGCGGCCGAUGGCAGAUUAGGUAGUUGGUGGGAUAAAAGCUUACCAAGCCGACGAUCUGUAGCUGGUCUGAGAGGAUGAUCAGCCACACUGGGACUGAGACACGGCCCAGACUCCUACGGGAGGCAGCAGUGGGGAAUUUUGGACAAUGGGCGAAAGCCUGAUCCAGCCAUGCCGCGUGCAGGAUGAAGGCCUUCGGGUUGUAAACUGCUUUUGUACGGAACGAAAAGCCUCCUAAUAAAGAGGGGUCAUGACGGUACCGUAAGAAUAAGCACCGGCUAACUACGUG